Molecule: ribosomal RNA, 368 nt
Filed under: Acinetobacter baumannii
Lineage: Bacteria; Pseudomonadati; Pseudomonadota; Gammaproteobacteria; Moraxellales; Moraxellaceae
Description: bacterial SSU rRNA
Rfam family: Bacterial small subunit ribosomal RNA
Source: RNAcentral
AGGAAGGCGGGGACGACGUCAAGUCAUCAUGGCCCUUACGGCCAGGGCUACACACGUGCUACAAUGGUCGGUACAAAGGGUUGCUACACAGCGAUGUGAUGCUAAUCUCAAAAAGCCGAUCGUAGUCCGGAUUGGAGUCUGCAACUCGACUCCAUGAAGUCGGAAUCGCUAGUAAUCGCGGAUCAGAAUGCCGCGGUGAAUACGUUCCCGGGCCUUGUACACACCGCCCGUCACACCAUGGGAGUUUGUUGCACCAGAAGUAGCUAGCCUAACUGCAAAGAGGGCGGUUACCACGGUGUGGCCGAUGACUGGGGUGAAGUCGUAACAAGGUAGCCGUAGGGGAACCUGCGGCUGGAUCACCUCCUUAA